RNAcentral lists this transfer RNA (67 nucleotides) under Benedenia hoshinai. RNAcentral's name for it is "tRNA-Asn". Lineage: Eukaryota; Metazoa; Platyhelminthes; Monogenea; Capsalidea; Capsalidae. The record is from RNAcentral.
GUAUGUAUAGAUUAAGAUUUAAAUCGUAAAGCUGUUAACUUUAAGUUGUUUGAUUAGACUACAUUCG